UGACGCUGCUGAAGUGCAGCUCGAAUGCAGAUGAUGGGACACCUGUCCUGCUGGAAUCAGAGGCGCGCCCGCAGGAGCGAGCGUGGGAAGCGAGCGCGCGCUCUGAGAGGGGCGCACAGACGGAUAUUACCGCCUUUACCGCAUUACAGAAUCCCACUGCAUCAUAUGUGGCCAAACCAACAGCGACACAGUAGGUGACAUGAGGGCAAGCAGGGAGUAAAAAGGGGUCCAGACGUACACGAGAUUGAGACGCGGGUCGAAAUGGAGAGAUCAAGCUCAGAGGGAAAGCCUGGAGGAGGGGAGAGUCUUUCAGCCCAGCCUGAGAAACGCUACAUCCCCCCCCCCACCCCAAGCUGAGAGCAGGCGGUAUCCAGCUCAGAGAGGGGGAGGACAGCACACCCAACUGCCUCGGUUUUACAUAUGUCAUGCGUUUGUGUUUUUCCUUGAUGUGUGUAUGCGUUUUUUGUUCUGUGGAGCACGUGUGUGUAGAUCUUUUUGAAAGGGGGCAGGGGUCUGCCCACAUGGUGAUUAAUUAUUCAUAAGGUGGGCGGGGAUAAGUCAAAGUAGGAGGUGGCAGACGGGGGAAUCUGUGUUUGCUGUGCGUGAGGGAGGCAGAAAGAGAGAGGGAACAUCAGAGACAGUUAGUAAGGGCUUGAGGUAAGGAUGCACAGAGGCAUAACAGCCCCCAGAAGACACGUCAUUAAGGAACUACACACAUGCUUUGCUUCUUGAUGGCACAGGCUGUAAGCCACAGUGACCUACUCCUCUAGUCAAAGGAUUUUAAAGCAAGCAAACAGCCAGCACAAAUAAAUGAGGAAUCUACUCUAUUAGAGAUGACAGGCCAGCUCACUCUUACCAGUUACAGAGACCUUCUUGCCUAAGAGGUAAAUUGGAUUUGUUUUCUUAUGUAUUCAAAAGCAGACUACAGAGGGCUGAUAAUUGCCUUUUUUUUGUUUCUGGAAGGAGAGAGAGGGCUUGCCAGCAUGUGUCUUUUUUCUUUCAUUCAUUCUUAUGUGUGUUUCAUCCCACAUGCUGACCGCGUUACACCGGGCU
This 1053-nucleotide long non-coding RNA is filed under the name Sinocyclocheilus anshuiensis. RNAcentral describes it as "lncRNA (ENSSANG00000011010.1)". Lineage: Eukaryota; Metazoa; Chordata; Actinopteri; Cypriniformes; Cyprinidae. The record is from RNAcentral.